AUAUUUGUCAGUACAUGGAUAACCCGAAUAAUCCAGUCGUUAAAUUACGAUCACUUUGAUCACUCCAUUAACCAUUUUCUCGAGAAAAGUAGUGGAUAGGGGCACUGAAUCAUUCGAGUUAGUACAUGGAGUAAAGAUAUUCAAAGAUUAGGAGCGACGAUUCAAUAUCCAUUUGUGUAUUGCAUUUGUCGUUGUUGAAACGGCACCAGGAACAUAUCAGGAUAGACAACAAAAGUCUAGUGAGAAAAAUGUUAUGAAACACCAGCAAAAAAGAUUAGAUUGUUAUUCAGUCCUGACUUAUACAGUGUUUCUGAAGAUUGAGAUUAGAACAGGCCUAUCCAGAAGCAAGAAAAAGAACAAUUUAUAGCACGUACAUCUACAGAGAGAGACAUGUUUUAAAAGACAGAUUUAUUUUCAAUUUUAGAAAACCUGUUGAACUUUUACUAUUUCUUAUCUGUUUAUUUUACAUUUAUAUAAAAUUGAGAAUGGAAAUGGGGAAUGUGUCAAAGAGACAACAACCCGACCAAAUAAAAAACAACAGCAUAUGUUGAUAUUUUGUUUUUUAAAAUUGCUGCACAGUAUUUCUAUUCAGUCCCAUAUAACAAAAUCAGCUGAAGAAAUUGAUAUUUUCAUAUUUCAAGGGAGUGUCCCUUUGCAUUGUUGAUAGCUGAUAUAAGUAUUGUCUUAAGUUGGGUUUAAAAACAGUCAGAUCGCAACUUCAAAUAAAAUACAUUUUUAUGAAUGUUAUAUGUCAUUAAAUAGGCAUGAAAAAUGGAAAAUUAUAUAGGAACACAUUUUUAAUACCUAAAUGUAUUGUCGAGGUAAAUUUAUUAUGUGAACAUAUAAAAUAUUAUCAAAAACACUGCUGGUUUAAAAUAAAAUUAUUAUAUGUGGCCUAAUGUAAUCAUACAGAUCAGUGUAAGCUUUCCUAAACAAAUUUUACAUAUUUUUAUAACCAGAAUAAAUUUAUUCUGUGUCUCAACCUUAACAUAAUUACUGUACUAUCAAAAUAAAUUUAUUUUAUAUAUCAUAAUACUUUUAAUUCACAUUGAAUGUAGAAUAAAUUUAUUCUGUGUCGCCUCCUUAAUAUGAUAACUGUACUUUCAGAAUAAAUUUAUUUUAUAUAUUAUUAUACAAGACAAAAAUCACAUUGAACAUAGAAUAAAUUUAUUCUGUGUC
Long non-coding RNA from Mytilus trossulus (common blue mussel), 1179 nucleotides. RefSeq lists it as uncharacterized. The transcript is spliced from 3 exons. The record is from RefSeq and is a predicted model, not a curated record. NCBI's taxonomy places the organism in Eukaryota, Metazoa, Mollusca, Bivalvia, Mytilida, Mytilidae.